RNAcentral lists this unclassified non-coding RNA (330 nucleotides) under soil metagenome. Its description in RNAcentral is "partial contains 5.8S ribosomal RNA, internal transcribed spacer 2, and large subunit ribosomal RNA". The stretch from base 1 to 120 matches the Rfam family "5.8S ribosomal RNA", at positions 35 to 154 of the family's 154-position model. The record is from RNAcentral.
GAUGAAGAACGCAGCGAAAUGCGAUAAGUAAUGCGAAUUGCAGAAUUCAGUGAAUCAUCGAAUCUUUGAACGCACAUUGCGCCCCUUGGUAUUCCGAGGGGCAUGCCUGUUCGAGCGUCAUUAUAACCCCUCAAGCUUAGCUUGGUGUUGGGGCCUGCUGUAAUAGAGCAGCCCUUAAAAUCAGUGGCGGUGCCAUUAGGCUCUAAGCGUAGUAAUUCUUCUCGCUAUAGGGUUCUGGUGGAUGCUUGCCAUUAACCUCUAAUUUUCUAUGGUUGACCUCGGAUCAGGUAGGGAUACCCGCUGAACUUAAGCAUAUCAAUAAGCGGAGGA